This 84-nucleotide transfer RNA is filed under the name Planctomycetota bacterium. Its description in RNAcentral is "tRNA-Leu". It matches the Rfam family "tRNA". From Rfam's summary of the family: Transfer RNA (tRNA) molecules are approximately 80 nucleotides in length. Their secondary structure includes four short double-helical elements and three loops (D, anti-codon, and T loops). The record is from RNAcentral. RNAcentral also lists the same sequence under 1 other name. Lineage: Bacteria; Pseudomonadati; Planctomycetota.
GCCGGAGUGGCGGAAUCGGCAGACGCGCCGGACUCAAAAUCCGGUGCCCGCAAGGGCGUGUGGGUUCGAGUCCCACCUCCGGCA